Dufourea novaeangliae is the source of this 478-nucleotide long non-coding RNA. RefSeq lists it as uncharacterized. NCBI's taxonomy places the organism in Eukaryota, Metazoa, Arthropoda, Insecta, Hymenoptera, Halictidae. The record is from RefSeq and is a predicted model, not a curated record. The transcript has 3 exons.
UGGGUGUCGAAUUGUUUGAGUUUGUGCUGUAGAAGGCUGAUUUCCAAACGGUUAUGACACCGUCAGCGAGGCGCGAGUGUCGACGCGAGUAACAGUUUUCCGGCUCGAUUCCCAAAACUUUCACGGUUAUUCGUCCGAACCGGAGCGACUACGUGAGAGAUUGUCUUCUGGUAUAGAAAACGUGAGCUGAUGAAUCGCGAACGGAAGUUGAUCGUCUAGGCGAAUCGGAAGCUGAGAAACCGAGGACGUUCUCACGGUGCGAAGAUACGACGAUACGGUAACAUCGAACACACCAAACCAGAAACAAACAUAUCAAUUCAUAUCAAACCUCAUCAUAUCGAUCUCCCGCGCAUCGUCUGACCCGGGUGACACUUAAUCACCAACCGACUGAACAUAUCGAUCCUCUUCCAAAUUCCCCGUCAGAUCCAACGAUGAUUCAUUCUCCACGCAGUCGCGUCAACUGUCGAUCACACGGGAC